Molecule: ribosomal RNA, 448 nt
Filed under: Candidatus Choladousia intestinavium
Lineage: Bacteria; Bacillati; Bacillota; Clostridia; Lachnospirales; Lachnospiraceae
Description: bacterial SSU rRNA
Rfam family: Bacterial small subunit ribosomal RNA
Source: RNAcentral
UAAACAGAGAGUUUGAUCCUGGCUCAGGACGAACGCUGGCGGCGUGCCUAACACAUGCAAGUCGAACGAAGCAUUUGAUUGGAAGUUUUCGGAUGGAAGAUGAGAUGACUGAGUGGCGGACGGGUGAGUAACGCGUGGGUAACCUGCCCCAUACAGGGGGACAACAGUUAGAAAUGACUGCUAAUACCGCAUAAGCGCACGAGGACGCAUGUUCUUGUGUGAAAAACUGAGGUGGUAUGGGAUGGAUCCGCGUCUGAUUAGCUAGUUGGCAGGGUAAAGGCCUACCAAGGCGACGAUCAGUAGCCGGCCUGAGAGGGUGGACGGCCACAUUGGGACUGAGACACGGUCCAAACUCCUACGGGUAACCUUUGGUUUUUCUGAUCUACUCAUUGUCAGCGCCUCCUUUCACCUGUGAUUCAUAUACCUCUCUGUAUAUUUCGUUAGUCCU